GUCUACGCGUUAGUGGUAGUAGCGGCAUCCUUUUUUUUGUUGCGUUUAUGCAAAAAAAAGAUAUAGCGGAUGACACGACCAAAU
This 84-nucleotide small RNA is filed under the name Lacinutrix sp. 5H-3-7-4. RNAcentral's name for it is "Flavo-1 RNA". It matches the Rfam family "Flavo-1 RNA". Lineage: Bacteria; Pseudomonadati; Bacteroidota; Flavobacteriia; Flavobacteriales; Flavobacteriaceae. The record is from Rfam by way of RNAcentral.